RNAcentral lists this ribosomal RNA (254 nucleotides) under uncultured bacterium. Its description in RNAcentral is "partial 16S ribosomal RNA". It matches the Rfam family "Bacterial small subunit ribosomal RNA", at positions 524 to 776 of the family's 1533-position model. The record is from RNAcentral.
UACGUAGGGUGCAAGCGUUGUCCGGAAUUAUUGGGCGUAAAGAGCUCGUAGGCGGUCUGUCGCGUCGGCUGUGAAAACCCGAGGCUCAACCUCGGGCCUGCAGUCGAUACGGGCAAACUAGAGUACUGCAGGGGAGACUGGAAUUCCUGGUGUAGCGGUGAAAUGCGCAGAUAUCGGGAGGAACACCGGUGGCGAAGGCGGUUCUCUGGGCCUUACCUGACGCUGAGGAGCGAAAGCGUGGGGGAGCGAACAGG